GACGAACGCUGGCGGCGUGCUUAACACAUGCAAGUCGAACGGAAAGGCCCCUUUGGGGGUACUCGAGUGGCGAACGGGUGAGUAAAACGUGAGUAACCUGCCCUUGACUUCGGGAUAACUUCAGGAAACUGGGGCUAAUACCGGAUAGGAAUCCUUGCUGCAUGGUGGGGGUUGGAAAGCUUCGGCGGUUUUGGAUGGACUCGCGGCUUAUCAGCUUGUUGGUGGGGUAGUGGCUUACCAAGGCUUUGACGGGUAGCCGGCCUGAGAGGGCGACCGGCCACAUUGGGACUGAGAUACGGCCCAGACUCCUACGGGAGGCAGCAGUGGGGAAUAUUGCACAAUGGGCGGAAGCCUGAUGCAGCAACGCCGCGUGCGGGAUGACGGCCUUCGGUUUGUAAACCGCUUUCAGCAGGGGCGAAUCUUGUGGUGACGGUACCUGCAGAAGAAGCACCGGCUAACUACGUG
Molecule: ribosomal RNA, 465 nt
Filed under: uncultured bacterium
Lineage: Bacteria
Description: partial 16S ribosomal RNA
Rfam family: Bacterial small subunit ribosomal RNA
Source: RNAcentral